RNAcentral lists this ribosomal RNA (601 nucleotides) under Micromonospora sp. WYP-191. RNAcentral describes it as "bacterial SSU rRNA". It matches the Rfam family "Bacterial small subunit ribosomal RNA", at positions 275 to 885 of the family's 1533-position model. The record is from RNAcentral. Lineage: Bacteria; Bacillati; Actinomycetota; Actinomycetes; Micromonosporales; Micromonosporaceae.
GACGACGGGUAGCCGGCCUGAGAGGGCGACCGGCCACACUGGGACUGAGACACGGCCCAGACUCCUACGGGAGGCAGCAGUGGGGAAUAUUGCACAAUGGGCGGAAGCCUGAUGCAGCGACGCCGCGUGAGGGAUGACGGCCUUCGGGUUGUAAACCUCUUUCAGCAGGGACGAAGCGCAAGUGACGGUACCUGCAGAAGAAGCGCCGGCCAACUACGUGCCAGCAGCCGCGGUAAGACGUAGGGCGCGAGCGUUGUCCGGAUUUAUUGGGCGUAAAGAGCUCGUAGGCGGCUUGUCGCGUCGACUGUGAAAACCCGCAGCUCAACUGCGGGCCUGCAGUCGAUACGGGCAGGCUAGAGUUCGGUAGGGGAGACUGGAAUUCCUGGUGUAGCGGUGAAAUGCGCAGAUAUCAGGAGGAACACCGGUGGCGAAGGCGGGUCUCUGGGCCGAUACUGACGCUGAGGAGCGAAAGCGUGGGGAGCGAACAGGAUUAGAUACCCUGGUAGUCCACGCUGUAAACGUUGGGCGCUAGGUGUGGGGGGCCUCUCCGGUUCCCUGUGCCGCAGCUAACGCAUUAAGCGCCCCGCCUGGGGGAGUACGG